UACGUAGGGUGCAAGCGUUGUCCGGAAUUAUUGGCCGUAAAGAGCUUGUAGGCGGUUUGCCGCGUCUGCUGUGAAAAUUCGAGGCUCAACCUCGAACUUGCGGUGGGUACGGGCAGACUAGAGUGUGGUAGGGGAGACUGGAAUUCCUGGUGUAGCGGUGAAAUGCGCAGAUAUCAGGAGGAACACCGAUGGCGAAGGCAGGUCUCUGGGCCACUACUGACGCUGAGAAGCGAAAGCAUGGGGAGCGAACAGG
This 253-nucleotide ribosomal RNA is filed under the name uncultured bacterium. RNAcentral's name for it is "partial 16S ribosomal RNA". It matches the Rfam family "Bacterial small subunit ribosomal RNA", at positions 524 to 776 of the family's 1533-position model. The record is from RNAcentral.